RNAcentral lists this ribosomal RNA (519 nucleotides) under uncultured eukaryote. Its description in RNAcentral is "SSU rRNA". It matches the Rfam family "Eukaryotic small subunit ribosomal RNA", at positions 1161 to 1699 of the family's 1831-position model. The record is from RNAcentral.
AGGGCACCACCAGGAGUGGAGCCUGCGGCUUAAUUUGACUCAACACGGGAAAACUCACCCGGCCCGGACACUGGAAGGAUUGACAGAUUGAGAGCUCUUUCUUGAUUCAGUGGGUGGUGGUGCAUGGCCGUUCUUAGUUGGUGGAGUGAUUUGUCUGGUUAAUUCCGAUAACGAACGAGACUCUAGCCUACUAAAUAGAUCGUCGGCUCACAAACGCCGGCGAGACUUCUUAGAGGGACAGGCGGUGAUUCAACCGCACGAAACAGAGCAAUAACAGGUCUGUGAUGCCCUUAGAUGUCCGGGGCCGCACGCGCGCUACACUGAAGUGAUCAGCGUGCUUUUUCAACCUACUCUGUCAAGAGUGGGGAACCCAAUGAACCUUCUUCGUGAUUGGGAUAGGGGAUUGUAAUUAUUCCCCUUGAACGAGGAAUUCCCAGUAAGCGCGAGUCAUAAGCUCGCGUUGAUUACGUCCCUGCCCUUUGUACACACCGCCCGUCGCUACUACCGAUUGAAUGUUUU